This 315-nucleotide long non-coding RNA is filed under the name Struthio camelus australis. RNAcentral's name for it is "lncRNA (ENSSCUG00000010905.1)". Lineage: Eukaryota; Metazoa; Chordata; Aves; Struthioniformes; Struthionidae. The record is from RNAcentral.
CGGGCAGCUUGCAGCACCCUCGCGGAGGGCUGGGCAGGGUGGUGGAGCUGACCUCUGUCUCUACAGGGCCCCCCUGGACUGGUCAAUGGGGCAGCGCCGCAAGGGGAGCCCGGCACCCCGGGUCUGCCUGGGGACCCUGGGCCCCGGGGUCCUGCCGGCCCCCCCGGACCAAAAGGAGACAAGGGUGACAGUGAGGAAGGUUUCCCAGGGCCACCCGGCCGCCCAGGGGACCCGGGGGAUCGGGUGAGUUCCCUGAGACGAGGUAAGGCCGGCUGGGACCAGCACACUCGGCAAAGAGACUGUGGGAUUGCUCCC